Long non-coding RNA from Alnus glutinosa, 833 nucleotides. RefSeq lists it as uncharacterized. Lineage: Eukaryota; Viridiplantae; Streptophyta; Magnoliopsida; Fagales; Betulaceae. The transcript has 2 exons. The record is from RefSeq and is a predicted model, not a curated record.
CCGAAUUAGUCUUUUCCGGCUUGUUGAGGGAACAUUGACCUCUAAGGUUUUGAACGAAAGGCACUGCCAGAACUUAGACCAUCAUAACUGGGUCGGCCACGGUCUUCAGUCUUCACCGCAAUCUCUGCUUGACCUCUUUGACAUGAGUUGCAUCCAUCAUGGGGUGCGGUAGAGCAUUCGUUGAAGUUACUAACAAUUAUAAGAGUGCAGUGUUCCUAAGGACAAAGGCCAUGACGACAAUGACACCCUUAAUACGGCCCUCGUGAAAGGAUCAUGAGCUGCUGAUCAUCCCAGAAAUUUCUUCAUGAAGGGCCCAUCAUCUUUGAGCAAUGUGAGGACCCAUCUUAUCUUCUACUACUUGUUAUGCUUAUCUUACUUCAAGAGAUUCUCAGUUGGAUCAAUACAUACACGCAGCAAUGUGCAAAACACCUCCAACAUUCGGGUCGGGUAAUUAAGGCUCUAGCUUUUGCCCGCAAGCAUGACAAGAAAUUGUUUACACCCAAUGAGGGUCAAACCUUAGACCUAAUAUUUCACGAGACACUAGGGUCAAGUUACUUAUCACUUGAUCCAACCCCUGAGGUUCAUUACCAUACAGAUUAGACAGAAAAUUAUUGAAGUUGGUACUUGUAAGAGCAGAUACUCAACCAACGGCUAAAAUGUUAUCUCAAGGUAACGCAGGAGUUCAUCUUCAAGUUAAAGACAACAACUCAAAUUCAAAACAGAGAGACAAUGCCACUGCUCAAGUUCAUGAUAGAAACAACAAUUCAAACUUCAAAUGUUGUUUAUGUAAAUGGGUGUUUAUAUAAUAUAUAAACACAAGUGAAAUCUCUACA